UUUUUAAGUAAAAAUAUCUGAAUUACUAUGAUUUUAUUAAACUUUUGGUCUUGUAAAGAAUGUGUCUUUAUAAGCCGGGCGUGGUGGCACAUCCCUUUAAUCCCAGCACUUGGGAGGUAGAAGCAGGCGGAUUUCUGAGUUGAAGGCCAGCCUGGUCUACAGAGUGAGUUCCAGGACAGCCAGGACUACACAGAGAAAUCCUGUCUCAAAAAAACCAAAAAAAAAAAAAAAAAAAAAAAAAAGUAAAAAAUAAAGAAAAAUAAAAGAAAGUGUCUUCAUUUUAUAAUGCCUAAUUAAGAUUGCCAUUCACAUUAAUGAGAUAAAAUUAGCCAUAGAUGACAAUUCUUUAAAAGUAUUGAGAAAUACAAAUGAGUAAGGGAAAUGACAACAACUUUCUUUGUGUGGGAUUUUCGAUUAGACCUUACUAAAACUCUUCUAGUUAAUCCUCUCACCUAUAUUUAUCUUUUGUUUCUUCUACUUCCUCUUCAUAACCUGAACUAUCCACAAAAAUUUCAAAGAAGAAAAGAAGUCUUGUUUUCGUCUAAGAGAAUGGAAUGGUAGGUCUUAAGGGCUGUCGGUCUUGCAUAUCUAUACUCUUGACUCCCUUAAAACACAGCACUACAAGCAGGGGAAGGCUUGCUCUCUCCUCAAAUAGAAGCACUUGGGAUCGUGAGAACUGAUUAUACUUCCAAGAUGUCCCUUGGGAGGAAAUUUCAAAUGAAAAAGCGCAUGCAUAAAAUUAAUUGCAGUUCCUGGAGUCUGCAAAAUGAUCUGAGGGUGAGGCAGAUCACUUAAUAAUCUCCAAAAUAAUCUGUCUUCAGAGUGUAAGGUCACUGAUGGAGAGCUUGAAGUUUUUCUUCAUUGCAAUCAGACCUAGGAAAUGAACAAAUUUUCCUCUGGCCACCUGGUAGUGGGUUGUACAUCAAAUCAGUCAAUGACUUCGCUCAUAAAAUCUAAUUAUUAUUUCACCAUCAGUAAAGAGCACUAAACAAACAGCUUCAAACUCUUGUUCUGUAAAACAGAUGAUCAAGGCUCAGAGUCAAGGGAACAUAAAACAGAUUUGGUUGUUGUUGUUGUUGUUGUUGUUGUUGUUGUUGUUGUUAUUAUUGUGGUUGUUUGUUUUUGUUUUGUUUUGCUUUGCUUUGCUUUGCUUUGUUUUUGUGGGUCCUUAGAAAGGAGACAAUGAGGACUAGAUAGGUGAUGUCACUUUCCAGUUCUGGGCCAUACGGCUGUUCUUUUAUGGCCUCUGUGGAUACUUGCACAUAUGUGGUCCAUGUCUUAUUGGAGAUUGGUCCUCAGGUGCUUAACUGAGUAUUAAGACAUGCUUUUGUACCUUGUACUGUUCUAUCUCAUUGCUAUUAAAAAAGUCCCCACCAGAUAGAUGAAGUACCUGAUAAGGCGACUUCAUUUGUACAGUGCCCAUAAGAUUAUCAGAAGUGCCAGAUCCCCUGAAUUUGGAUUAAAGAUGGUUGUGGUUGGUCAGAAUUUAACCUGAGUCCUCUUAGUGAGCAGCCAGUGCUUAAAACCACUAAGCCACCUUUCCCUUCCCAUCUACAUUUAUGCCAUUGCAAUUAGUCCUUGUUAAAUAUUUCUACAUAAAUUUUACACAGAGAUUUAUGCACACAUUUUAAGUAAUUGCUUAUAUUUAUUUAUGUGUGUGCUUGUUUGCCAAUUGUGUGCCAGAAUCUAGAACAUUGGAAUGUCGGAAUGUUUCCUGACUGGGUGCUGGGAACUGAACAAGAGUCCUUUGGAAGAAAAACAAACACUCUUAAAUACUGAGCCAUCAUGCCUGGCCAUCAUAUUUAUGAGACAGUUUUAUGUCUCAUCUCCACCAUUUAAAAAUAGCAUAUGGAAAUAUUUUCACACCACUUGGUUCAUUUCUGACUGUUUCUUAUCCUCCGUGGUUCCUAUUUUAAAAUAUUUGUAUCCCUGAUUAUCUAUAUAAUACACAGUAUAAUCCUGCAGUUAAGUUUACCUGGAUCUGGAUAGAGUUCUGUGAUAAACGGCUUUCCCUUGGUCCACUACC
This 2026-nucleotide long non-coding RNA is filed under the name Mus musculus (house mouse). Its description in RNAcentral is "long non-coding RNA chr6:80217450-80219476". The record is from RNAcentral. Lineage: Eukaryota; Metazoa; Chordata; Mammalia; Rodentia; Muridae.